Molecule: ribosomal RNA, 494 nt
Filed under: uncultured bacterium
Lineage: Bacteria
Description: partial 16S ribosomal RNA
Rfam family: Bacterial small subunit ribosomal RNA
Source: RNAcentral
GACGAACGCUGGCGGCGUGCUUAACACAUGCAAGCCGAACGGAAAGGCCUGCUUUCCCUUGUGGAUUGCGGGUACUCGAGUGGCGAACGGGUGAGUAACACGUGAGUGAUCUGCCCCCAACUUGGGUAUAAGCCUGGGAAACUGGGUCUAAUUCCCGAUAGGACUGCAGGGUGGUGCCUGUGGUGGAAAACGAUUUUCUAGUGGUUGGGGAUGAGCUCGCGGCCUAUCAGCUUGUUGGUGGGGUAAUGGCCUGCCAAGGCGGCGACGGGUAGCCGGCCUGAGAGGGUGGACGGCCACAUUGGGACUGAGAUACGGCCCAGACUCCUACGGGAGGCAGCAGUGGGGAAUAUUGCACAAUGGGCGGAAGCCUGAUGCAGCGACGCCGCGUGGGGGAUGACGGCCUUCGGGUUGUAAACUCCUUUCGACCGCGAGGAAGCCACCUGGUUGGAAGGGUGGUGACGGUAGUGGUAGAAGAAGCACCGGCUAACUACGUG